This 253-nucleotide ribosomal RNA is filed under the name uncultured bacterium. Its description in RNAcentral is "partial 16S ribosomal RNA". It matches the Rfam family "Bacterial small subunit ribosomal RNA", at positions 524 to 776 of the family's 1533-position model. The record is from RNAcentral.
UACGUAGGGGGCAAGCGUUGUUCGGAAUUACUGGGCGUAAAGGGCGCGUAGGCGGCCUGCUAAGUCGAACGUGAAAUCCCUGGGCUCAACCCAGGAACUGCGUCCGAUACUGGUUGGCUUGAAUCCGGGAGAGGGAUGCGGAAUUCCAGGUGUAGCGGUGAAAUGCGUAGAUAUCAGGAGGAACACCGGUGGCGAAGGCGGGUCUCUGGGCCGAUACUGACGCUGAGGAGCGAAAGCGUGGGGAGCGAACAGG